RNAcentral lists this ribosomal RNA (508 nucleotides) under uncultured bacterium. Its description in RNAcentral is "partial 16S ribosomal RNA". The record is from RNAcentral.
GGAGUUAGCCGGUGCUUCUUCUGUGAGUGAUGUCCUUCCUGCCGGUUAUUGACCCGCAGGCCUUCUUCCUCACUGAAAGUGCUUUACAACCCGAAGGCCUUCUUCACACACGCGGCAUGGCUGGAUCAGGGUUGCCCCCAUUGUCCAAUAUUCCCCACUGCUGCCUCCCGUAGGAGUCUGGGCCGUGUCUCAGUCCCAGUGUGGCUGAUCAUCCUCUCAGACCAGCUACGGAUCGUCGCCUUGGUGAGCCGUUACCUCACCAACCAGCUAAUCCGACAUAGGCUCAUCCGAUAGCGCGAGGCCCGAAGGUCCCCCGCUUUCCCCCGUAGGGCCGUAUGCGGUAUUAGCCUGGGUUUCCCCAGGUUAUCCCCCACUACCGGGCAGAUUCCUAUGCAUUACUCACCCGUCCGCCGCUCGCCACCAGGGAGCAAGCUCCCCGUGCUGCCGCUCGACUUGCAUGUGUUAGGCCUGCCGCCAGCGUUCAAUCUGAGCCAUAAUCAAACUCUGA